RNAcentral lists this ribosomal RNA (472 nucleotides) under uncultured bacterium. RNAcentral describes it as "bacterial SSU rRNA". It matches the Rfam family "Bacterial small subunit ribosomal RNA", at positions 328 to 793 of the family's 1533-position model. The record is from RNAcentral.
GACGACGACUCCUACGGGAGGCAGCAGUGGGGAAUAUUGCACAAUGGGCGCAAGCCUGAUGCAGCCAUGCCGCGUGUAUGAAGAAGGCCUUCGGGUUGUAAAGUACUUUCAGCAGUGAGGAAGGUGGAUAUGUUAAUAGCAUAUUCAUUUGACGUUAGCUGCAGAAGAAGCACCGGCUAACUCCGUGCCAGCAGCCGCGGUAAUACGGAGGGUGCGAGCGUUAAUCGGAAUUACUGGGCGUAAAGCGCAUGCAGGUGGUUUGUUAAGUCAGAUGUGAAAGCCCGGGGCUCAACCUCGGAAUUGCAUUUGAAACUGGCAAACUAGAGUACUGUAGAGGGGGUAGAAUUUCAGGUGUAGCGGUGAAAUGCGUAGAGAUCUGAAGGAAUACCGGUGGCGAAGGCGGCCCCCUGGACAGAUACUGACACUCAGAUGCGAAAGCGUGGGGAGCAAACAGGAUUAGAUACCCUGGUAG